AUUAUCUGAGGUGGUAAAUUUCGUUGCAACCACGCACCCUCUGGGUCAAAAGAAAUGCAGGAGAGGCGACGCCUGCCAGAUAAU
The sequence is a small RNA, 84 nucleotides long. It matches the Rfam family "skipping-rope RNA". From Rfam's summary of the family: Firmicutes, Fusobacteria, AlphaProteobacteria, Spirochaetes. Downstream gene The record is from Rfam.